This 87-nucleotide transfer RNA is filed under the name Buchnera aphidicola (Cinara strobi). Its description in RNAcentral is "transfer RNA Serine". It matches the Rfam family "tRNA". Rfam says of the family: Transfer RNA (tRNA) molecules are approximately 80 nucleotides in length. Their secondary structure includes four short double-helical elements and three loops (D, anti-codon, and T loops). Further hydrogen bonds mediate the characteristic L-shaped molecular structure. tRNAs have two regions of fundamental functional importance: the anti-codon, which is responsible for specific mRNA codon recognition, and the 3' end, to which the tRNAs corresponding amino acid is attached (by aminoacyl-tRNA synthetases). tRNAs cope with the degeneracy of the genetic code in two manners: having more than one tRNA (with a specific anti-codon) for a particular amino acid; and 'wobble' base-pairing, i.e. permitting non-standard base-pairing at the 3rd anti-codon position. The record is from RNAcentral. Lineage: Bacteria; Pseudomonadati; Pseudomonadota; Gammaproteobacteria; Enterobacterales; Erwiniaceae.
GGUGAGAUGUCCGAGUGGUUGAAGGAGCAUGCUUGGAAAGCAUGUAUAUUGUAAGAGGUAUCAAGGGUUCGAAUCCCUUUCUCACCA